RNAcentral lists this ribosomal RNA (409 nucleotides) under uncultured microorganism. Its description in RNAcentral is "bacterial SSU rRNA". It matches the Rfam family "Bacterial small subunit ribosomal RNA", at positions 509 to 917 of the family's 1533-position model. The record is from RNAcentral.
CAGCCGCCGCGGUAAUACGGAGGGUGCAAGCGUUGUUCGGAAUUACUGGGCGUAAAGGGCGUGUAGGCGGUUGUGUAUGUCAGAUGUGAAAUCCUCCGGCUUAACUGGAAAACUGCAUCUGAAACUGCAUGGCUAGAGUACAGGAGAAGGAAACGGAAUUCCCGGUGUAGAGGUGAAAUUCGUAGAUAUCGGGAGGAACACCAGUGGCGAAGGCGGUUUCCUGGCCUGAUACUGACGCUGAGGCGCGAAAGCAUGGGGAGCAAACAGGAUUAGAUACCCUGGUAGUCCAUGCCAUAAACGGUGAACACUAGGUGUGGGAGGUGUAAUACCUUCUGUGCCGAAGCUAACGCGUUAAGUGUUCCGCCUGGGAAGUACGGCCGCAAGGUUGAAACUUAAAGGAAUUGGAGGG